UGGGGGAAUAUUGCACAAUGGGCGAAAGCCUGAUGCAGCAACGCCGCGUGAGCGAUGAAGGCCUUCGGGUCGUAAAGCUCUGUCCUCAAGGAAGAUAAUGACGGUACUUGAGGAGGAAGCCCCGGCUAACUACGUGCC
This 138-nucleotide ribosomal RNA is filed under the name uncultured bacterium. Its description in RNAcentral is "partial 16S ribosomal RNA". It matches the Rfam family "Bacterial small subunit ribosomal RNA", at positions 354 to 509 of the family's 1533-position model. The record is from RNAcentral.